GGCCUGUUAGCUCAGUUGAUUAGAGCGUCGUGCUAAUAACGCGAAGGUCGAGGGUUCGAUCCCCCCACGGGCCA
Molecule: transfer RNA, 74 nt
Filed under: Nephila pilipes (giant wood spider)
Lineage: Eukaryota; Metazoa; Arthropoda; Arachnida; Araneae; Nephilidae
Rfam family: tRNA
About the family: Transfer RNA (tRNA) molecules are approximately 80 nucleotides in length. Their secondary structure includes four short double-helical elements and three loops (D, anti-codon, and T loops).
Source: Rfam by way of RNAcentral